RNAcentral lists this ribosomal RNA (334 nucleotides) under uncultured eukaryote. RNAcentral's name for it is "partial 18S ribosomal RNA". It matches the Rfam family "Eukaryotic small subunit ribosomal RNA", at positions 1470 to 1796 of the family's 1831-position model. The record is from RNAcentral.
CCCUUAGAUGUCCGGGGCCGCACGCGCGCUACACUGAAGGAAUCAGCGUGGCUUUCUCCCUGACCCGAAAGGGUUGGGAAACCCGUUGAAUCUCCUUCGUGAUAGGGAUUGGGGCUUGAAAUUGUUCCCCAUGAACGAGGAAUUCCCAGUAAGCGCGAGUCAUAAGCUCGCGUUGAUUACGUCCCUGCCCUUUGUACACACCGCCCGUCGCUACUACCGAUUGAACGGUUUAGUGAGGGCCUCGGAUUGUUCUCGGCCCGCUCUUUACCGGGCGGCGCCGUUGGUCGAGAAGACGCUCGAACUUGAUCGUUUAGAGGAAGUAAAAGUCGUAACA